RNAcentral lists this ribosomal RNA (629 nucleotides) under Enterococcus faecalis. Its description in RNAcentral is "bacterial SSU rRNA". It matches the Rfam family "Bacterial small subunit ribosomal RNA", at positions 64 to 683 of the family's 1533-position model. The record is from RNAcentral. Lineage: Bacteria; Bacillati; Bacillota; Bacilli; Lactobacillales; Enterococcaceae.
GAGUGCUUGCACUCAAUUGGAAAGAGGAGUGGCGGACGGGUGAGUAACACGUGGGUAACCUACCCAUCAGAGGGGGAUAACACUUGGAAACAGGUGCUAAUACCGCAUAACAGUUUAUGCCGCAUGGCAUAAGAGUGAAAGGCGCUUUCGGGUGUCGCUGAUGGAUGGACCCGCGGUGCAUUAGCUAGUUGGUGAGGUAACGGCUCACCAAGGCCACGAUGCAUAGCCGACCUGAGAGGGUGAUCGGCCACACUGGGACUGAGACACGGCCCAGACUCCUACGGGAGGCAGCAGUAGGGAAUCUUCGGCAAUGGACGAAAGUCUGACCGAGCAACGCCGCGUGAGUGAAGAAGGUUUUCGGAUCGUAAAACUCUGUUGUUAGAGAAGAACAAGGACGUUAGUAACUGAACGUCCCCUGACGGUAUCUAACCAGAAAGCCACGGCUAACUACGUGCCAGCAGCCGCGGUAAUACGUAGGUGGCAAGCGUUGUCCGGAUUUAUUGGGCGUAAAGCGAGCGCAGGCGGUUUCUUAAGUCUGAUGUGAAAGCCCCCGGCUCAACCGGGGAGGGUCAUUGGAAACUGGGAGACUUGAGUGCAGAAGAGGAGAGUGGAAUUCCAUGUGUUAGGCG